UUUCAUACUAUGGGUAUAUGUGUUGUUGUAGGGACCAUGGUCUCAGAGGCGCAUAACAACCGUGCGGAGUACGACAAGUCUUUGCAUGAAGCGCGCCGGGAGAUCGACUUGAAGGUGCAAAAGGAUCGCGCUGAGGUAGAUAAGAAACUCAAAAAAGAACGUUCAUACGUGGACAGGAUGAUAAAGGAGGAGCGUGAGGAGUUUUCCCAUAAGAUGGCGAAGAUGUGUCUUGAGAUUGAAGAAAAGUAUAAGCGGGACUGUGAGGACAUGGAAAAAAAGUUUUUCCUUGGCUACAAGGAAAUGCAUCAAACGUUACAAAAGGACCGGAAGCUUGUGGACAGUAUUAUACAGACAGAGCGAGUCAGGAUGGAUGCCUAUGUGUUGCAGGCACGUUCGGAAAUGGACAGUAAGCUGCUACAGGAGCGGUCGGACAUGGAUUAUAAGGCCAUGCUGGAGAAGGUCCGUUUGGAAGGACAUAUGUUAGAAGCCCGUGCG
This 495-nucleotide ribosomal RNA is filed under the name Triticum aestivum (bread wheat). Its description in RNAcentral is "partial small subunit ribosomal RNA". Lineage: Eukaryota; Viridiplantae; Streptophyta; Magnoliopsida; Poales; Poaceae. The record is from RNAcentral.